Long non-coding RNA from Camelina sativa (false flax), 1113 nucleotides. RefSeq lists it as uncharacterized. The record is from RefSeq and is a predicted model, not a curated record. NCBI's taxonomy places the organism in Eukaryota, Viridiplantae, Streptophyta, Magnoliopsida, Brassicales, Brassicaceae.
UAGAUGCCAUUUGAGCGAGCCAGUCGAGUUGCUAAGACCAUCAUUAGUGGUGAAUACUCUCUAAGUUACUCUCUUGUUGGGCCCCAAAAAUAGAUAUAAAACCCAUUUUCGAGUCCAUUUGAGAGAGUAUCGCUGCUUCUAAUAGCAACUGAAGCAACACCCUGAGAAACGCGACGUGGCGUUUUGCCAUUGGUUCCAGAAAAAAUAUAAAAGAUAAUUUUUUUUUUUUAAUCUUUCCGAGUCUCUCUCUCUCCUCUGUCGAGACAAAGGCGAUUUGGGUGGCGAUUCUUGCGAAGAUCAUGAUUAGGCGUCGAUUCAGACCGAAUCUGAUGAAGUUUCCGGCUAAAUAUGGAGGAUGAUGAUGGCAAGUAGAGGCGAUGGCGAAGAACAAGCGGUGUAACCCUAAGAUGUUGACGAUUCGGUUCUGAAGACAAACGACGGCGGAGGUUUCCGGGGGUGACAGAGAUCACAAAUGUCCAUGUUCAAUUCCUCCAUCUCUCUCAAAUGGCCACAAGAACAAGAUCAUGACUUCUUCUUCGUCUUCUAUGUCAGCACUAGCUUGCUCUCCUCUUCUCAACGAUUGCCACUGAACUAAUGGAUGACAAAGAUCAUGUGUUUGGAAACUUGAUAGAGAGUAGCGAAGCAAAUACUGAAGUAAAGAUCCUGGACAACGAUCAUUUGGUUUUCUAUAUGGACAAGAAUGUAAUGGCUCGCAAAUUGCCUGAGACGGUCGUAGUUACUAACCACGAGGAGGUUACUUUUAACGUUGUCAAGGAUGUAUGUGUCGAUGAGGGUGUGCCUAUGAUGCCGGAUAAGUUCUUAUUCAACAAGAUGAUUGCAAAGUGGCAUCGGGGGUUGUAGUAGCUACAUCAAGAAGUGUCUCUAAGGAAGCUUUAACCUUGGGAGAUAUUAUAUUAAUGGAGGGUUCUCAAAGACCAGCCAACAAAAACAACACCCAUGGACCUGAAGAAACAGAAGAGGAGAAAACAGAGGAACCAAUAGCAGGGAGCUUGAGAUAUCUUUCCACUGAAUUGGAAGAAUCAGAGAAUCAACGGCUAAACGAUGUGUUUGAGGACUCUUCUGAUCACAAUCUCUUCUCAAGAAUCAGAGAAU